ACCACAGACAUGCAAUUCCGGUAC
This 24-nucleotide non-coding RNA is filed under the name Arabidopsis thaliana (thale cress). The record is from RNAcentral. Lineage: Eukaryota; Viridiplantae; Streptophyta; Magnoliopsida; Brassicales; Brassicaceae.